GCAACGGUCAAAGCCGCGUACAUGCCAUGUUGUAGGCAAGACGGGCCCCGACAAGAGAAAUUAUUGAAAUCGCGUGCUCUGGUGCGUGCAACGCACCGCUGUACGCACUGCAUCCCGUUGGCCAUCCAUCUCACGAUGGACGGCCAACAAACCAUGGCCGUACAUUUGCACGGCACCAUAUGCUGUGGUGCACUGCAGGAUCCGCGCCCG
RNAcentral lists this long non-coding RNA (210 nucleotides) under Elaeis guineensis (African oil palm). Its description in RNAcentral is "long non-coding RNA (EGUI_LNC000007)". Lineage: Eukaryota; Viridiplantae; Streptophyta; Magnoliopsida; Arecales; Arecaceae. The record is from RNAcentral.